RNAcentral lists this ribosomal RNA (429 nucleotides) under Pseudomonadota bacterium. RNAcentral's name for it is "Proteobacteria bacterium partial 16S ribosomal RNA". It matches the Rfam family "Bacterial small subunit ribosomal RNA", at positions 355 to 776 of the family's 1533-position model. Lineage: Bacteria; Pseudomonadati; Pseudomonadota. The record is from RNAcentral.
UGGGGAAUAUUGGACAAUGGGCGAAAGCCUGAUCCAGCCAUGCCGCGUGUGUGAAGAAGGUCUUCGGAUUGUAAAGCACUUUAAGUUGGGAGGAAGGGCAGUAAGCGAAUACCUUGCUGUUUUGACGUUACCGACAGAAUAAGCACCGGCUAACUCUGUGCCAGCAGCCGCGGUAAUACAGAGGGUGCAAGCGUUAAUCGGAAUUACUGGGCGUAAAGCGCGAGUAGGUGGUUCGUUAAGUUGAAUGUGAAAGCCCCGGGAUCAAACUGGGAACUGCAUCCAAAACUGGCGAGCUAGAGUAGGGCAGAGGGUGGUGGAAUUUCCUGUGUAGCGGUGAAAUGCGUAAAUAUAGGAAGGAACACCAGUGGCGAAGGCGACCACCUGGGCUCAUACUGACACUGAGGUGCGAAAGCGUGGGGAGCAAACAGG